UACGAGAGCCUCGAGCGUUAUCCGGAAUUAUUGGGCGUAAAGGGUGCGUAGCUCGUCUCGUAAGUCUUUGGUGAAAUCGGGCCUCUUAAGGGUCCGGCGUGCCUUAGGUACUGCGGGACUAGAGACCGGGAGGCGCAGGAAGUACGUACAGGGUACCGGUAAAAUGGGUUGAUCCUGUAUGGACUAACAGUCGCGAAGGCGUCCUGCGAGAACGGUUCUGACAGUGAGGGAUGAAGGCUAGGGGCGCAAGUGG
Molecule: ribosomal RNA, 253 nt
Filed under: uncultured archaeon
Lineage: Archaea
Description: partial 16S ribosomal RNA
Rfam family: Archaeal small subunit ribosomal RNA
Source: RNAcentral